Molecule: long non-coding RNA, 11128 nt
Filed under: Mytilus galloprovincialis (Mediterranean mussel)
Lineage: Eukaryota; Metazoa; Mollusca; Bivalvia; Mytilida; Mytilidae
Source: RNAcentral
AGAAAGGAAACCUGGUGAAGGGGAUGAAGGAUGGUCAACGGUCAAAUACAAAUAACUCUGGACAACUAUAACAUACUGGACAGUGGAAUUUAUUACAAUCUUUUUAUUGACCAACUCAUAUUUAUUGAACACUUCUUAUUGGACAACUUUACCAUAAUGAAUGACUAAUCUUAUUCAACAACUGUCAGAUAUUGAUCAUGUAAUAAUAUUAAACCACUAAUAACUUCUUCUUGGACAACUUUACCAAAAUGAAUGAUUCUUCUUAUAAGACAACUGUCAGAUACUGAGCAUGUUAAAUUAAACAACUGUGAAAUACUGAAAUCUUCUUAUUGGUCAAUCUGAUGCUGAUUACUUCUUCUUUAAUAUACUAUAAGUUGAUUUUGAAUACAAUUUAACAUAGACUUACUUCCACUAUUUUUACAAAGCAAACAACUUAAUAUUGAACAGCUGUGCUAUACAGAACAUUUGAUACAAACAUUGUACAGUACUACACACUUACAAAAAAAUCAGUUAUUUAUUGUCAUUUUAAGCUGUAGCAUACAUGUAUGUGUGUCUUGUUGUAUUUCAUUUUUAUUGCCGUUUUUGAAAUUAUUGUUUGGAGAGUAGAUGGGCAUUCAUUCUUUAAAAUGAAUUAUUGGUGCAUUGUACAUUGCUAUAUUUCCCAUUAAAUCUUAUAAAAAUAUUUAGAAUUCUGAAAACAAAACAAAAUAUAUUGUGGGUUUGGAAUUUAAGUGCCCUCCUAAAUAUAUAUACACAUUGAAUAAUGGUAAUCUACAUUUAUAUUUUCUAGAUUAUUCAACAACUAGAUGCAUGUAUAUGAUAAAUUUGUAGGAACAGUUAUUAUAAUUUAUUAAUGUUGUUAAUGGUUUUCUUUGUCAUUUGAAAUGUAUGGCUAUUACAAAAUUUAUGUAAUUGAAGUGCUAAUUGUUAAAUAAUUAUGACAUUGAUUGUAAAAUAAAUUUUAAUUGCACAAUUUGUAUCAGUUGUCCUCCGGCAUGUCUAUUCUACUGGAAAUUAUACCCCAACAGUAAUAGGGAAACUGAUAAAAUUGAGAAUGAAAAUGAGGAAUAUGUCAAAGAGACAACAACCCGACAAAAGAGCAGAAAACAGCCAAAGGCCACCAAUAGGUUUUCCACAUAAUGGGUAAAAUCCUGCACCCUGAGGCUGGCCUUCAAAUAAAAAUGGGCACAAAAAUGUUGCAAGGUUAAACAUGGUUGGUGAAAUCUCCCUCUAUACCUCUAGCCUAUGUAGAAUCAACAAACACGCACAAUAUGCACAGUAAAACUCAGUUUUAAAGAAGUCCGAGUCUGAUGUCAUAACAGGCAACAAAAGAAACUAAGCAAAAUGUCAUUGAUAAAUAAAUUAACAAAGGACUAAACAGACAUGAUUUCCUGCUAUUUCAAAGUUCUUUAAGCUUUGCACAUUUUUUAGUCUCCUACUGACAAAAUCUUAAGGUUUGCACUCCGUCUGUCUGUGAGUCCAGCAAGUCAGUUUUCCACACUUUAUUAGUCCCCUACUGACAAAGUUUUGAUUUGAUAUUUUUAUCAUGACAAGUAAAAAGUUCGAUUUUCAUGAUUUUAGCUCUCCUUGUUCAGUUAAAGCCCUUUCCCUAGAAUUAAAGAAAUACUUGCUUAUAACUAGAUUUUUGUUCUAAGGGAAAUAACUCAUUUUUUAAAAGAUUUGUAAAAGACAUUGUAUAAAGAUAAAUGGAAUUUUGGAUUAUUUUUUUUCGUUUUCUUUAGUAAGUUGUUUGAAGAAUGAAGUAGUUUGUUGAUUUAUGUAGUUUACACCCUGACAAGUUACAGAUCAAGUUGGAAUUUUGUUUCAUUACAAUGAGUUUUUUACCGUUGGGGGACUGUAUUGCGCAAUACUCACAGAAUGCUUGUUUCUUCAUGUGUAAAGAUAUUGAUUUGAUAUUUAUACCCCACGCAACGAAGUUGCGGAGGGUAUAAUGUUUUUGACCCGUCAGUCCGUCCUGUUUCUUGUCAUCGCAACUCCUCUCAAACCACACAACAGAAUUUCACGAAACCUUUUCAGAUAAUAAGGACAUACUAUGUAGUUGUGCAUAUCGACGGGAAAUUGCGAUUCAAUUUUUUUUCUAGGAGUUACGCCCCUUUGAACUUAUUUACUUUAAUGUACUACUGCAACAGUUUGUCAUCGCAAAUUCUCUCAAACCACAAAACAGAAUUUCACGAAACUUUGUAGAUAAUAAGGACAUACUAUGUAGAUGUGCAUAUCAACAGGAAAUUACGGUUCAAUUUUUUUUCUAGGAGUUAAGCCCCUUUGAACUUAUUUACUUCAAUGUACUUCUGCAACAGUUUGUCAUCUCAACUCCUCUGAAAACACACAACAGAAUUUCAUGAAAUUUUGUAGAUAAUAAGGACAUACUAUGUAUAUUGACAGGAAAUUAUUAUUCAAUAUUUUUUUUAUACAAUUUUUUUUUCUUGUACUUAUUUAAUUUCUCCAAUGACAAUGUGGGGACGUGGGGUAUGUGAGCGUGCUCACUAAGGUUCUUUAAUUGGUAUAUAGUUUGAUUGUUGAGUCUGCGGCGCAGAAAGCUUGACAUAGGAUAGUGAUCAGGUGGCGGCGUUAGCUAACUUCUUAAAAGUUUUAUAUUUUAGAAGGAGGAAGACCUGGAUGUUCAUACUUUGUAUAUAGAUGCCUCAUGUUACGAAGUUUCUGUCGGUCACAUGUCCAAUGUCCUUGACCUCAUUUUCUUUGUUCAGUGGCUACAUGAAAAAAGUUAAAAAAAAAAAAAAAAAAAAAAAAAAAAAAAAAAUGUCCAUCUGACCUUGACCUCAUUUUCAUGGUUCAGUGGUUAUAGUUAAGUUUAGUGUUUUGGUCUUUUCUUUCUUUAAACUAUGCAAUAGGUCAACUAUAUCUGGUGUAUGGAAUGAUUUUAAGGUGUACAUGUCUAGCUAGCAGGUGUCAUCUGACCUUGACCUCAUUUUCAUGGUUCAGUGGUCAAAGUUAAGUUUUUGAGUUUUGAUCUUUUUCUAAUACUAUAUGCAAUAGGUGAACUAUAUAUUUGGUGCAUGGAAAUAUUUUAUGAUCUAUAUGUCAGUCAUGCAGGUUUAAUUUGACAUUGGCCUCAUUUUCACGGUGCAUUGCUCAGUGUUAAGUUCUUUUUUUUUGGUCUGUUUUUCUUAAACUUUUAGCAAUAGGUCAACUAUAUUUGUUGUAUGGAAGAAUUGUUAGCUGUACAUGUCUGCCCGGUAUGGUUCAUCUGACCUUGACCUCAUAUUCAUUCAUCAUGAUUAGUUUUUUUUGGUUAAUGUUAAGUUUAUGUGAAAGUUGUAAUAAAGCUUUUAUUUAGAACUAUAAUAUAAUAAGUAAGAAGAGAAAUUUCAGCUUGUGCACGCUUGCGCACAGUUACAGACACAAGUUGAGAAUUAUGUUCUGAGAAUGAUAAUUAUAUCCCCAAGGGUUGCAAGGGUUUAAUUUUUUUUGACCCGUCAGUUCCUCAGUUCUUGUUUCGCAACACUUCCAUUCAAACCACUGAAACCACACAACGAAUUUCAUGAAAUUUUGUAGAUAAUAAGAACUUAAGAUGUGCAUAUUGACAGGAAAUUAUUAGUCAUUAUUUUUUCUUAUACAAUUUUUUUUUCUUACACUUAUUUAAUUUCUCAAAUGACAAUGUGGGGACGUGGGGUAUGUGAGCGUGCUCACUAAGGUUCUUUAAUUUAUGCAAAGUAAUGGUCCUUGGACAUAAAAAAUUCACUGAGUAUUCAGUUUCCACACUUUUUAUACGACCGCAAAAAUAGAAAAUUUUUUGGUCUAUAUUGGUAUCACGUUGGCGUCGUCGUCGUCCGAAGACAUUUGGUUUUCGCACUCUAACUUUAGUAAAAGUAAAUAGAAAUCUAUGAAAUUUAAACACAAGAUUUAUGACCAUAAAGGUAUGGAUUGAUUUUGGGUGUUUUGGUCCCAACAGUUUAGGAAUUAGGGGCCAAAAAGGGCCCAAAUAAGCAUCCCAUAUGUAGGUAAAGUUGGUAUUUUGCUACUAAGGUGGGGGAAAUAUAUAAUUUCAAAAGAAAAAUCGUUUUGUUUGUCAUAGAUUCAAAAUUUAACUUAUCCAAUACUUUCCAUAUAAACUAAUUAACUGCCUACAAAAUAAGAUGAAGUAUACAAAUGUUAUCCAAGCUUCAAUAAAGGGGAGAUAUAUACAGGGAUUGUCACUUUCAAGUCUUUAGAUAUAUUACUACAUAAAAGGGUUCAGUGGACAUGGAUGCUUCAUUUCUUGUAUACGUAUACCUUAUGGUACAAAGUGUCCGUCAAUCAUAUGUCCAUUGUCCUUUACCUCAUUUUCAAGGUUAAGUGACUGCUAGGAAAUUUUUUUUUGGCAUGUGAAUUUCUCAAUCAUUCGGAUAACUUUGGAAAGUGGGUUCCUUGCAACAUCUGUCACAGAUUUCACCUGACCUCAACCUCAUUUCAUGGAUCAAAGAUUACGGUUAGAAGUUCCGUGAUUAGGUCUGUUUAUCAAAUAACAGUUUUAGUGUAUAGAAUGAUAACAUUGGGUACAUAUCAGUCUGACAGGUUUCAUCGGACUGUGACAUCAUUUUCAUGGUUCUGUGGUCAAUGUUAAGAUUUUGUGUUUUUGUCUGUUUUCCAAGUACAAUAGGCAAAAGGUCAACUAUGGUUGAUGUAAGAAAUAACUUCUGGUGUACAUGUCUGACUGGCAGGUAUUUUUAACUAUCAGACAUUAACCUCAUUGUCAUUGAUUUUUAAAAAAUGUUAAGUUUCUGUAGUGAUUUUAAUAAAACCUGUAUCUUUUAAGACUCAACAUAAAAUCAAUUGUCAGUAAAGAAGGCUAGACAUUUUUGCAUGUGCAAUCUUGUUUAAACAAAUCAUUUAGGAUCAUCGUAACAAUCUCAAGCAAAAUGCUGAAAUUCAGCACAUUUAUUAUAGGGUUUACUGUGAACUCUAACCUCCAACUGCACUUAAAAGUUUAGUUGUGUGAAGUUGAAAUUAUAUUGAAAUAUUACAAGUUACCCUUAUCCACUCUUUAAUUUUUGCUGUCAUUCGAUAUUUUGAUAUUGUAUCUAAUGGAAGCCAAAGAGCUAAGAUAGAACCACUGGCAGAAAAUCUUGCAAUCCUAAUUAAUUAAGACCACAGUCAAACGUAAAAAUGUACAGGGUUUGAUCUCGCAAUCUCAAAGUUUACAGGCUAGUGAUAUUAUCUGUUGAGGCCCCCUUUUCAGUUUGAUAAUCAUGCAUAGUAGUAAUGAAUGAUACAUGUAUAUAUGUAUUAAUAACAAAACUAUGUUGAGAUUUAAAUUUUAUUCUAAAAUGUAAAUAACAAUCUAACAGAUUUUGGAAAAUAAAGAACACAGUCUGGAGAAGACAUGACAAACAUCCACAAUAAAUCUUCACAAUAUAGCACUUCACACAAAAAAUACCAUUUUUUACUCCAAGCAUGCAAAGUCUCCACAUCUGACACAAUAAGGUUACUCUUAUAUGAAAACUGAAUACAAAGUGUUGAAAACAAAAUUAGUAUUGCAGCAAAUUCACUAAAUUAUUAAGCAGAUUUUUUAAACGGAUGCACUAAAAGUUGUAUAAAAUAGCUGCCACAUUUUUAAACAAAUUUUUGACUUUCAAUUUUCAUGUUUACAUAAGAAUCUACAUAUACCAAAAUACAUUUUACAAAAUUGACAUAAAUAACCCAGUUGAAUCUGACAUCUUAAAAAUAUAACAUCACUGUUUAUAAAGAAGCUUUGGUAUUUCAGAUUGUCACUGGUUGAAAAUUUUUCAAGUUGCAGUAUGAAUUCACUUUCCCAAACUGGGCUUCUGGUGAAAAACCUUUAAAAGACCACUGAAGCAUCAAUACUAGAUGGAAGCCUGCUUUACUGUAUGUAGAUAUGGCAAGACAUCUAUAUUCUAUACCAAAAACACUCAUCAUAGAUAACAGGAUUAAAAUUUUAAAUAUUUGCCAGACACGCGUUUCAUCUACAAAAGACUCAUCAGUGACGCUCGAAUCAAAAAUAUCAAGUUACAAUUGUUAAUUUCAAUUCUGUAAAAUUUAAAUUGUGCCAAAAAUAAUCUUUCUACAUAAAUAUAGUAAAUAUAUUUCAAGAGCAAGGAAGUACUAGCAUAUACAUAUAUCACAGAUCAGCCAAUAAAUUAAGGAUUAUUAAAAAUAUACAUGUAUGAGUAUAUCUGGCUCUAAAUUAUUUGUUAAUAAUAAUAAAACCUUGGAUUUUUAUCAUGGUAAUAUAGGGGAUUGUAUUAUUAUUACUACACACAAAACAUGCUCACACUUUCAUGAAAAUAGUGUCACAACAUGAAAGCCCCCCGUCUCCACCUACUAUGGAAGAUACAAUGUAAAAUUGAGAAUGGAAAUGGGGAAUGUGUCAAAGAGACAACAACCCGCCCAAAUAAAAAACAACAGCAGAGGGUCACCAACAGGUCUUCAAUGUAGCGGAAAUUCCGCACCCGGAGGCGUCCUUCAGCUGGCCCUAAACAAAUAUAUACUAGUCAGUGAUAAUGAACGCCAUACUAAAUUUCCAAAUUGUACACAAGGAAACUAAAUUAAAAAUAAUACAAGACUACUAAAAAGGCCAGAGGCUCCUGACUUGGGACAGCGCAAAAAUGCGAGGGGUUAAUGUUUGUGAGAUCUCAUUCCCCUAUACCUCUAACAAUUGUAGUAAAGUAAACGCAUAACAUACGCAAUUAAAAUUCAGUUCAAGAGAAAUCCGGUCUAGAAGAUGUAAAAAGAAAAUAAACAAAAUGACAAAAUACAUAAUAAAACAGACUUACUAGCAGUUAACUGACAUGCCAGCUCCAGACUUCAACUAAAUGACUGAAAGAUUUAUGAUUUCAUUAUAUGAACAUCAGGCACAAUCCUUCCCGUUAGGGGUUUAGUAUCAUACCAUCAUAACAUAUAUGAGAAGAACAUAACCCGUGUCAUGCCAACAACUGUUUUUAGAAUAAAUGUGUUUAGUUCCGAUGCAAAGACCUUAUCAGGACUCAAUAUUACGCCAAAAUAUGCAAUUUUAAUGACUUGACAACAGUAUCUAUUAUAUCCCUUCUUAAUAAAGUCAUUCAAAGGUUUUGUAAGUUCUGAGUGAAACUGACACCUUUGUGCUUUAUAAAGAAUAUUACCAUAAAAAAUUGGAUGGGGAAAUACCUGAACGUAUUAGAAGUUGUCUGUUCAUCUGAAAUAUUUACGAUAGAUCUUUAUACCGAUGAUAAAAUUUAGUAAACGUUUUGACUGUUUGUGAUAUCGAAAACCCUGGUGUAAUAAAUUUUUCAGUAAUACACAAAUUAACUCGUUAAAAUCUAAAACAUUGUUUUACAACACGAGCGAAUCGUACAAGUUGAAGAUAUAAAACACCGAUUGAAUUUACAAGGGUCACCAUCUAAAAACGGAUAAUUAACGAUAGGAGAAAAAUCAUCCUUUAUCAUAAAUUUUUAGUAUUCAGCUUUCCAUUAGUGAUAUAGAUAUAUAAUGUGACUAUUAGGUCAACCAUAACAAACCACAAAAAAACUUCAUAACAUAUUACUAAGCAUAUUAUCACAAAAAAGAGUUCAAUAUCUGAAAAGGACAGUUUAAAGAUUUUUUUAAAUCCAACUAUGAAAGUUAAGUCAGACAGAUACUACGGCUGCUGAAAUCCAAAAUCCAAUAUCUUCUGUAACAGCUAAUGUUGGAGAACCUGUUCUACAGAGGAAUAAGAAAAUGAUUGACAUGAGGAAACUACUUAUAUUGGAGAUGGCAUAAUAAAUAUAUAUAUAUAUAUAUCUGCUACAUAAAUAUAACCUAUUCAUUAUCUAAUUAUAUUCAGUUUUGAAUUUUAAAGAGAUAAGAUUUUUAAGUAUUUGUAUAUUUUUAAUAUACUGAUAUGCAGUUUGAUUGAAUUGAAGAUUCUGUAGAUACCAACUUGUUUUGGGAUGUUUUCAUUUUUGCACAAACUUCGGAAUUGAAAGUGUUUUUAUGUACUAAAAAUAAAGACAAAAUCCUAUGCCAUUAAUUAUUGGUUAUUAUUUUCCAUCUUAAAACUAGCAAUGAUGAUACAAUAUAUCAGCUCAAUAACUUGAAUUAAUUACAGCAAUAAUAACAAAUAGUGAGUUUUCAUACUUUUACAAAUAUCAGCCUCAUUUUAAAACAAUAUCUUUAUGCAACACUGCUGACAUUAUACAAGGGUCUGAUUGUUCUUCAUUUCUUUAUUCUUUCAACUUUUUAAAACUUUUUUUAAAACUUUUUUUAUUUAUUUUUACCCUGAUUCUGUAUUCUUUAUAUUUCAGCACCCCAUCAUUCUCUAUUCUUUACUUUUUGGUCUAUUUUCUCUCUAUUUAAUAUAUGUUUGCCUUGUAUUUUGCACCUUUUAUACUUUAUUCUUAUUCAGUAACACAUCCAAACCUACAUAUACCUAGACUGAUACACAUUUUCAGAGGUUCUAAUAUCUAUAAAACAUUCAAUGUAAAUAAAAAAUACUACAAGUGGACAUAAUAUUAUAAUUACAAUAACAUAAACAAUAACAAUUAUGGCAAUUUAUAAUUAACAAGGAAAAAGGUUAAAGCUCAGUUUACCGGUAUAAUCAUUGUUAUAAUUCUUUACAACAAAUAAUUUUGAGGUUGUGUUAAAUUUGUCCUAUCAGAGAUUUCCAUAGAAGGGAAGUGACAUAACUACUUUAUCUGAAAAAUCUAUCAUGAAUGUGUAAUAAAAGAUCAAAACAUGAUUUGCUUUAACACUAGAGAGAAAGUGCAUUUACUUUAAUUACAAAAAAAGUCAGAUAUUUCAACAUAUAUCAUAAAUACACUACAGUGAAUUUACGCAGCUUAACCAAAACAAGAUUAGUUGUCAAAUAAAUAUUUUUACAUCUAUGAGUAUUGUCUAAUUUUAAUUACAUCCAUUUACAUAUGUGUAUAUUUCAAUGUAACUAACUAAUUUUAUUCAGUAAACAUGUAUACAAAUAGGAAUUGAUAGACUUCAUUUUCAAGUUAUACUACCUAAUCACCUUAUCAAAUAAAAUCUAUCUACAAAUAAAUCAAAAUUAAUGCAAAAUGAUGGUACAUGAAAGGCCACAUUUUUGCUGUUUAAAGUUUUCACAUAUAUCCUCAAGAUUUUCUUUAAUGAUAAGCCUUCUGUCAAUGACAAGACAAGACAAGACAAUGAAAUUGGUGAAAGGAUGACAUGGAUUUGAUAGUCUUAAUAAACGAGGUAGCUUUUUCUUUUGAGUAUAACUAGCUAUUAAAAUAAAAUGAACAUACUAAAAUAAAUUCUAGCAUAAAAUGUUCACAAAUAUGACAUACAAACUAACUAACCAUGGGUAAUUUAAUGAGAUGUGCACCAAAAAAGCAUAUAAAUAACAUAAUCUAACGAGUUAAUCCUAUAAUAUUCAGUAAGUGUAUACAUAUUGUAAUGUGUAUAGUAUACCUUAUUUAAUGCAAAUCAUUUGAUUAAUAUAUUUUGUAUGAUCAAACACUCACUAAAGGUUGAAAUGAGUUUUCUAUCAUCAUGAAUAACAACCUUUUACAAGAUAUAUUUUCCCUUUACAUAUAUUAUAUUACCAUAUCUAAAUGAAAAAUCAUUUCAGAAGUUAUUAAGUUACAUAGAAUUUUGGAAAACUUCAACAAUACAUUUUUUCAACUUAAACAAUAUCACUAUUAAAAAGUGAACAUAUUGGAUAUCAAAAUAAAACAAUCAAAUAAAUAAAAAGAAGAUUUUAUAACUUUUGAAUAACUUUUCUGUAAAAUGCAGUUCUUAUAACUGAACAAAAAUAAAAAGAGAUUGAUCUUAUAACUGAAAUAUAAUAUAAAGCGAUAUAUGGCAAUAAUAUAUGAUGAAGACUUAUUAUCUAUUACUAACAAAUAUCUAAAUGAAAACUGUUAUCAUUAAGAAAUCAUCAUAUCAUUAGCUAUUACAAAAAUAACUAUAAAUGAUUUAUGGACUAUUAUAAUUUACUAUAUUCAACACUGAACAAUCCAUUUAGCACCAUAUAAAGGGACAUUAGCACUACAUGUUAUAACAAUUUACAUAUAUGAUGAUAUGCUUUUGUACAAAUGACAGUGAAACAAUUCACCUUUAAACAUCUUCAUUAUUUCUGACAAAUUUCAGUUAUAGAAAAAAUUGUAAUGUAUUUAUAUUGAAAUUUGAAAAAUUAUUUAAUUUCAAUUUUUAAACAUUUCUAUUAUAAUAUAGUAAUUAGUCAACUAAAAAUAGCUAUAAUUUAAAUGCACAACAAUCAGAUCUGUGAGUAUUCAUGAUCUAAAAUAAGAAUAUGAGUAUUUCUCUCAUAAUAUAAAAUCUUUGGUGGCUGAGUGAUAUCGCUGUUCGUGCUUACAUCCUGGGUUUUUAAAAUUAUUGAAUAGUCAAUGGAACAGAAUCAUUAAAAAACUGUUUUAAUUAUCACAAAUCUGAUGGAUGAUAAGCUCAUAUAAUAUAGUAAUGCCCAAUUCAAUUGCUAUGAAUAUCAUGUUGUUUAAGUGAUUUUUAACUAAAUAACUAAAUGAUUGUAUUCUAAUGCUACAAUAUAGCAGAACAUCAAUAUAUAUAUAUAUAUUACAAAGGUCCUUUUUGGUAUAAUUUCAUAGCUUUUAUAAACUAAAACAGCUAUCAUUAAAAAUAAUAUCAUGAUAUGAUUUGAUUUGAUAUAAUAUAAAAAUGUAUUGUCUAGUCAUCAAAAUAAAGUGAUAUGAUAUGGGUUUCACCUAAGAAAAGAUACCUGUUAAAAUCAUCAUUAAUUAAAGGUAUUGUACAAGCAAUACACCAUGUAUAUAUCAAACUAACAAAAAAUAACUGACUGAUAAAAAAAGGUGCCUGGCAGAUAAAAUGGUAGAUAAAAGAACAAUUUAUACAUCAAAUAGUUAGGAUUAGCUUCAAACAAUUUCAUAUUAAAAAUGGUUAAUUUAAAAACAAAAUGCACAAAAGGUGAUAUGUUUCAUAUUAACAACGUCUGGUUUGAUUAUUGUGAAAAUAUUUUAAAACAUAUUGUACCAUAGGUAUUCUCUUAACAAGUAGAAGCUAAAAUGCUUUUCUGUUAUACAUUUAUACAACAUCUUUGUGUUUAUUAAACAAUGCAUACCACAUGCUUUUGUCAUACAUUUAUACCACAUAUUUUUUAUCAUGGUAAAUUUCAGCUGCUUUCUCUUUUUGUUAGCAAGGUACAUUCCUAUGACCAGGAUAAACUUCUCUG